This 292-nucleotide long non-coding RNA is filed under the name Elaeis guineensis (African oil palm). Its description in RNAcentral is "long non-coding RNA (EGUI_LNC038332)". The record is from RNAcentral. Lineage: Eukaryota; Viridiplantae; Streptophyta; Magnoliopsida; Arecales; Arecaceae.
UCCCUCUUCUUCUCGAUCUCUCUCUUCAUUCCCUCUUCUUCUCGAUCUCCGGCCCUCUUCUUCUCGAUUGAAUUUUGGAGUAUGACACGCAUGGAACCUCUGAUGCAGGGCUUUAUGAACAGAGUUUAGAAUCUUUCAGAGUUUAAAUUAUGUAGAAGUAUAAUAGAUAAACAUUCAUACAUAUACAAAAUAUAUGUAUAUGUAUUUUCUGUACAUGUAUUUGUCAGUAAGAAAGAUCAAAUCUAUCUUCUUUAGCACUAAAUGAUGGAGAUGUGUUCCAAGAUAUGUUAUC